CGGAGGGAUCAUUACAAGAACGCCCGGGCUUCGGCCUGGUUAUUCAUAACCCUUUGUUGUCCGACUCUGUUGCCUCCGGGGCGAGCCUGCCUUCGGGCGGGGGCUCCGGGUGGACACUUCAAACUCUUGCGUAACUUUGCAGUCUGAGUAAACUUAAUUAAUAAAUUAAAACUUUUAACAACGGAUCUCUUGGUUCUGGCAUCGAUGAAGAACGCAGCGAAAUGCGAUAAGUAAUGUGAAUUGCAGAAUUCAGUGAAUCAUCGAAUCUUUGAACGCACAUUGCGCCCCCUGGUAUUCCGGGGGGCAUGCCUGUUCGAGCGUCAUUUCACCACUCAAGCCUCGCUUGGUAUUGGGCAACGCGGUCCGCCGCGUGCCUCAAAUCGUCCGGCUGGGUCUUCUGUCCCCUAAGCGUUGUGGAAACUAUUCGUAAAGGGUGUUCGGGAGGCUACGCCGUAAACAACCCCAUUUCUA
This 471-nucleotide ribosomal RNA is filed under the name Cladosporium sp. UFMGCB 3751. Its description in RNAcentral is "eukaryotic LSU rRNA". The stretch from base 170 to 323 matches the Rfam family "5.8S ribosomal RNA". The record is from RNAcentral. Lineage: Eukaryota; Fungi; Ascomycota; Dothideomycetes; Cladosporiales; Cladosporiaceae.